RNAcentral lists this non-coding RNA (110 nucleotides) under Syntrophotalea carbinolica. RNAcentral's name for it is "Pelobacter carbinolicus SAM-I sequence". It matches the Rfam family "SAM riboswitch aptamer (S box leader)". From Rfam's summary of the family: The SAM riboswitch is found upstream of a number of genes which code for proteins involved in methionine or cysteine biosynthesis in Gram-positive bacteria. The SAM riboswitch acts at the level of transcription termination control. RNAcentral also lists the same sequence under 1 other name. Lineage: Bacteria; Pseudomonadati; Thermodesulfobacteriota; Desulfuromonadia; Desulfuromonadales; Syntrophotaleaceae. The record is from RNAcentral.
UCUUUAUCGAGAGUGGUGGAGGGAUAGGCCCUGUGAAACCACAGCAACCGAUUCGCCGGCGCGAAUGUCAGGUGCUAAUUCCUACCCCUUCAACAGGGGAGAGAUGAGGA